RNAcentral lists this microRNA precursor (122 nucleotides) under Arabidopsis lyrata subsp. lyrata. Its description in RNAcentral is "pre miRNA MIR405". It matches the Rfam family "MIR405 microRNA precursor family". Lineage: Eukaryota; Viridiplantae; Streptophyta; Magnoliopsida; Brassicales; Brassicaceae. The record is from RNAcentral.
UCAACCCAUUUAACCUUCUAACCCAUCAAAUUAAAUGAGUUCAUGGGUUGACUCAACUCAUUUAGUUAUGAGUUGAGUCAACCCAUGAACUCAUUUUACUCUAAACUCAUUGGGUAAUGAGU